CACCGCGGUUAUACGAGAGACCCAAAUUGAUUUCUAACGGCGUAAAGGGUGGUUAAAAAUUUUUAUACUAGAGCCGAACUCAUCCCUGACUGUUAUACGUUACGGAAUAAAGAAGAACUAAAACGAAAGUAGCUCUAAAAUUUUGAACCCACGAAAGCUAGGAAA
RNAcentral lists this ribosomal RNA (165 nucleotides) under Repomucenus planus. RNAcentral describes it as "partial 12S rRNA". The record is from RNAcentral. Lineage: Eukaryota; Metazoa; Chordata; Actinopteri; Syngnathiformes; Callionymidae.